This 253-nucleotide ribosomal RNA is filed under the name uncultured bacterium. RNAcentral's name for it is "partial 16S ribosomal RNA". It matches the Rfam family "Bacterial small subunit ribosomal RNA", at positions 524 to 776 of the family's 1533-position model. The record is from RNAcentral.
UACGUAGGGUGCGAGCGUUGUCCGGAAUUACUGGGCGCAAAGAGCUCGUAGGUGGUUUGUCGCGUUGUUCGUGAAAACUCACAGCUUAACUGUGGGCGUGCGGGCGAUACGGGCAGACUGGAGUACUGCAGGGGAGACUGGAAUUCCUGGUGUAGCGGUGGAAUGCGCAGAUAUCAGGAGGAACACCGGUGGCGAAGGCGGGUCUCUGGGCAGUAACUGACGCUGAGGAGCGAAAGCGUGGGGAGCGAACAGG